Phalacrocorax carbo (great cormorant) is the source of this 2343-nucleotide non-coding RNA. NCBI's taxonomy places the organism in Eukaryota, Metazoa, Chordata, Aves, Suliformes, Phalacrocoracidae. The record is from RefSeq and is a predicted model, not a curated record.
CGCUAACCAGCUGUGCAUGCACACACACAAACGCAAACACAAUAGGAGUUUUGCAAAUAGUACAGCUGGAUACUGUCAAGGGAAUAUGAAAGCAAUCUCUAGCUGCCUUGCACGUUAUCAGCCUCCUAGACAAUUACAUCAUUUCUGCAACUGCCCACACACUCACACUGUUACCUGCUUCUAGAUAAUUAAAUAAUAUUUGAUACUGAUUAAAGGCUUCUCUGUUUUUAUUCUUCCAAAACAUGCACAGGCAGACGCAGGGAGAGAUGUGCAGGAGUGUAAGAUGUGUGUACAUAAAUGAAAAGCAGAGGAUGGCAGCAGUGUUAUUAGUUUCUGGAUAUGAGGAAAUGGCUGUUCUCUGUAUAUUUAUUUAAAACUGUAUCUAGAAUACUGCAUAGGAAUUAUUUUAAAGGUCAUUGUGUUGUUUUUAGACACAUCAAGGACAGCUAAAAUGAUCAUCAUUUGUUCAAAUAAUAUUUAGAUGAGGAACUGUUAACAAUGUAUACUGUUAUUAACAUACAUUAUUUCAGCACAUGUAAAGCAAUGAGACGUGUUGCAAAGAAAACUUUAAAAAAUAUAUUUGACACAUUAGACCGAGCCUGUAACUACCGGGAUAUAGUUUACCAUUGCCCUUUUGCCACUUACAAGUGAGUGGGAGAAGGAACCCUGCCUUUCCUUAGGAAGCCAUGUAAAAUCCAUUGUGCAUCAUCAGAAAUCAGACUAACAGCUCAGUUUGCAUCUCUAAAAGCAGUGAUAACUUAUUUCUAAUAACAAAAUAUGCAGUGCUUCUAAGAGGAUGUACAGUGAAUGCCUUCCACAAAGGUACCUUCAUGACAUCAGGACAGAUAGUGAAUAAUCAUCUCCCUCAGUCCCCAAGAAAAGAAAAAAUAAAAAAGAAAAUAGAAGGGAAAAAUGAAACAAGCUAGCCCAUAACCCAACACACUCCUACCUUUCACACAUUUUGAGUAAUCUUUGCUGGAUUUUCACCUAUUCCGCAGUGUCCUACUACACUGGGAGAACACAACAUUUCAUGGUGAUUAACAUACUUUACUGCUUCUUAGCCUUCAGCUUUUCCCCUUGUGUAUUCAUGUUUCUGUUCAGACUACAUCAGUGCAAGUUCCUUCUGUCCCUAACCGAAGAUUUAAGAACCUUCCCUGAUGCUAAAGAAAAUGUAUGAGUGGAUCUAAGAGUGAAGAGUGCCACCAUCAGGCCGACUGGCUAAAUGGAAGCAAUUUUUGUGAAGUCUUUGAACAACAGGUUCUUUGGUUUCAUUUAUCGAUAAUCAAGAGAAUAGUGAUUGUACCUUCAUUUAGUCUUGAUGGAGAGCAGAGACGAGCAUGUUGAGAGCCACCUUAACCUCUGAAUUAACAAUAUAUUGCAAGAUCUCAACAAACAUGGCAGCCUCAUUCAUCACAUUUCAUUCACACUGGGACUUCUUGAACUCAGAGGCAUAGAAACAUGUAUUUGUUCUUUCACAGAAUAAAAUAAAUAAUCCAGUAAGUGGAUUUCAUUAAAAAGUUCAUUAAAAGUGAAGCUCACUGCAACAAGCUGAGUAACAGACUAAAUCUUGCCUUGGGCAACAAGCAGAAUUUAUUUACUUUUUGUCCCUUUAUCUUCCAACCCUCUCAUGUCAGACUGUGAUGGAUGAAGUGAAAAGAGUUUCCACACCAAAAUCUGAAUUCUCAGCAAAUUGUUGACAGCUGGUGUCAUUCCAAAUUAGAGAUAGGCUAUUACUAGUGAUCAGCUUAUUCCAUGAAUUUAGCCUUUUUGACUGCUUGCAAAUUAUUUGUGAAUUGGUUUUGAUUUUUCAUGUGCAUUUGUUUGUAAUUGAUUUUUGUUUGAGAUACUGUUUGUGUGGGUAAAUGUUAAUCAUGUGGGAAACUGGUUUAUCCCUGUAUAAGCUUUGUAGUAUUUUUUAGAUAUUCUUCUCGCUAUUUUAAUUCUAACCAAAAGAGGUUAUUUUCUACUUAGCAUUUAUUCACUAGCAUAUUUUUUGAGAAUUUGUUUUGUGAAAAAUUUAAAUUAUGACAGAGAGAUCUGCUAUAUGAACCAUUCAACAAGUGUUUCUGAGUAAGUAUACUCAGCUCUGCCUCUGUGAGAACAUUCCUGCUAAAUGAAACCUUUCUAUCAAAUGCUUUACGACUGGACAGGACAGAAAGGUCACAGCAAGCACCACAGCAAAAGCACAUUUUCUUUGCAAGAACAUGUAAAAAUAACAUUAUGCUUCAUUUGUGUAAUUCUAAUUCAGUGAUCUCCUUUAUCAGUUUCUUUCAGAUUUGUCAGCUCGCUAGACACUGACAGUAUCAGCAAAAGAGAGAAAUUAAAGGAUAUGUAAAAACAAAA